CACUGACAUUAGAUACCCGGGUAGUCCAGGGUGUAAACGCUGCAGACUUGGUGUUGGAAGCCCUUUGGGGGCAUUCAGUGCCGGAGAGAAGUUGUUAAGUCUGCUACUUGGGAGUACGUCCGCAAGGAUGAAACUUAAAGGAAUUGGCGGGGGAGCACCGCAACGGGAGGAGCGUGCGGUUUAAUUGGAUUCAACGCCGGAAAUCUUACCGGGACCGACAGCAACAUGAAGGCCAAGCUGAAGACUUUGCCGGAUUAGCUG
Molecule: ribosomal RNA, 261 nt
Filed under: uncultured archaeon
Lineage: Archaea
Description: partial 16S ribosomal RNA
Rfam family: Archaeal small subunit ribosomal RNA
Source: RNAcentral